This 351-nucleotide ribosomal RNA is filed under the name uncultured crenarchaeote. RNAcentral's name for it is "bacterial SSU rRNA". It matches the Rfam family "Archaeal small subunit ribosomal RNA", at positions 938 to 1293 of the family's 1478-position model. Lineage: Archaea; Thermoproteati; Thermoproteota. The record is from RNAcentral.
GACGGCAGAAUGAUGGUCAGGCUGACGACCUUACCGGACGAGCCGAGAGGAGGUGCAUGGCCGUCGCCAGUGCGUGCCGUGAGGUGUCCUGUUAAUUCAGGCAACGGACGAGACCCGCGCCCCUAGUUGCCAUCGGCCGAAAGGCGCUGGGCACUCUAGGGGGACUGCCCCCGAAAGGGGGAGGAAGGAGCGGGCUACGGCAGGUCGGUAUGCCCCGAAUCCCCCGGGCCGCACGCGACGUUCAAUGGCGGAGACAGUGGGAUGCGACCCCGAAAGGGGAAGCAAAUCCGUAAACUCCGCCUCAGUAGGAAUCGAGGGUUGCAACUCGCCCUCGUGAACGCGGAAUCCCUA